Molecule: non-coding RNA, 23 nt
Filed under: Arabidopsis thaliana (thale cress)
Lineage: Eukaryota; Viridiplantae; Streptophyta; Magnoliopsida; Brassicales; Brassicaceae
Source: RNAcentral
UCAGGACAUGAAUGUGGGUUCUA